This is a long non-coding RNA of Pecten maximus, 1283 nucleotides long. RefSeq lists it as uncharacterized. The transcript has 3 exons. Lineage: Eukaryota; Metazoa; Mollusca; Bivalvia; Pectinida; Pectinidae. The record is from RefSeq and is a predicted model, not a curated record.
CCCUCUCUUACCUGAUACAGGAUGAGGUUAGGUACCCUCUCUUACCUGAUACAGGAUGAGGUUAGGUAUCCUCUCUUACCUGAUACAGGAUGAGGUUAGGUACCCUCUCUUACCUGAUACAGGAUGAGGUUAGGUACCCUCUCUUACCUGAUACAGGAUGAGGUUAGGUACCCUCUCUUACCUGAUACAGGAUGAGGUUAGGUACACUCUCUUACCUGAUACAGGAUGAGGUUAGGUACCCUCUCUUACCCAAUACAGGAUGAGGUUAGGUACACUCUCUUACCUGAUACAGGAUGAGGUUAGGUACCCUCUCUUACCUGAUACAGGAUGAGGUUAGGUAUCCUCUCUUACCUGAUACAGGAUGAGGUUAGGUAUCCUCUCUUACCUGAUACAGGAUGAGGUUAGGUACCCUCUCUUACCUGAUACAGGAUGAGGUUAGGUACCCUCUCUUACCUGAUACAGGAUGAGGUUAGGUACACUCUCUUACCUGAUACAGGAUGAGGUUAGGUACACUCUCUUACCUGAUACAGGAUGAGGUUAGGUACCCUCUCUUACCUGAUACAGGAUGAGGUUAGGUACCCUCUCUUACCCGAUACAGGAUGAGGUUAGGUACCCUCUCUUACCCGAUACAGGAUGAGGUUAGGUACCCUCUCUUACCUGAUACAGGAUGAGGUUAGGUACCCUCUCUUACCUGAUACAGGAUGAGGUUAGGUAUCCUCUCUUACCUGAUACAGGAUGAGGUUAGGUACCCUCUCUUACCUGAUACAGGAUGAGGUUAGGUACCCUCUCUUACCUGAUACAGGAUGAGGUUAGGUACCCUCUCUUACCUGAUACAGGAUGAGGUUAGGUACCCUCUCUUACCUGAUACAGGAUGAGGUUAGGUACACUCUCUUACCUGAUACAGGAUGAGGUUAGGUACCCUCUCUUACCCAAUACAGGAUGAGGUUAGGUACACUCUCUUACCUGAUACAGGAUGAGGUUAGGUACCCUCUCUUACCUGAUACAGGAUGAGGUUAGGUAUCCUCUCUUACCUGAUACAGGAUGAGGUUAGGUAUCCUCUCUUACCUGAUACAGGAUGAGGUUAGGUACCCUCUCUUACCUGAUACAGGAUGAGGUUAGGUACCCUCUCUUACCUGAUACAGGAUGAGGUUAGGUACACUCUCUUACCUGAUACAGGAUGAGGUUAGGUACACUCUCUUACCUGAUACAGGAUGAGGUUAGGUACCCUCUCUUACCUGAUACAGGAUGAGGUUAGGUACCCUCUCUUACCCGAUACAGGAUGA